UACACGCUGUGACUAGCAUAUCAAUAAGCGGAGGAAAAGUAAAUGCUGUAUACCUACGCUUAGGAUGUUGAGGCGCGUGUGUGCGUGAGUCUAUACAUGACUCUGUGCAUAUCAAUAAGCGGAGGAAAAGAAACUAACAAGGAUUCCCCUAGUAACGGCGAGUGAAGCGGGAAGAGCUCAAAUUUGAAAUCUUAAAGGGUUUCCCUUUACGAAUUGUAGUUUAAAGAAGUGUUUUCUGUUGAGGUUUUGGUAAAAGUUCUUUGGAAUAGGACAUCAUAGAGGGUGAGAAUCCCGUAUUUGACCUUUACUUUCAACUUUGUGAUACACUUUCAAAGAGUCGGAUUGUUUGGGAAUGCAGUCCAGAAUGGGUGGUAAAUUUCAUCUAAAGCUAAAUAUUGGCGAGAGACCGAUAGCGAACAAGUACCGUGAGGGAAAGAUGAAAAGAACUUUGAAAAGAGAGUUAAACAGUACGUGAAAUUGUCAAAAGGGAAGCGUUUGACACCAGUGUUGUUUUUUCUGAAAAUCAAUUAAAGAACUGUUUAUGCUAAGUUGUUUAGACUUUAUCAGCUAACUGUUUAGUUUUGAGCUUUUCUUUAAUGCACUUUUCAGUUAACAAGUCAACAUCAAUUUCUUUUGCUGUAAAAAAGCUUGAGGAAGGUGGCUUGAGAUUCGUCUUAAGUGUUUAUAGCCUCUUGCCUAUGCAGUCGGAGAGAUUGAGGUCUGCAGCGUAGAUCCUUCGGGGCUAAAUGCAUUUGUGCUAAGUUAUAGCAUUUUAUAGACAACUUGUUGACUAUGAUUUGUCUUGUAGCUUACUCGCUUAUGUUAUUUUACCUACGCUUAGGAUGUUGAAGAUGUAGCACAUCAU
This 865-nucleotide ribosomal RNA is filed under the name uncultured Neocallimastigales. RNAcentral's name for it is "partial large subunit ribosomal RNA". It matches the Rfam family "Eukaryotic large subunit ribosomal RNA", at positions 1 to 643 of the family's 3401-position model. Lineage: Eukaryota; Fungi; Neocallimastigomycota; Neocallimastigomycetes; Neocallimastigales. The record is from RNAcentral.